This 439-nucleotide ribosomal RNA is filed under the name uncultured bacterium. Its description in RNAcentral is "partial 16S ribosomal RNA". It matches the Rfam family "Bacterial small subunit ribosomal RNA", at positions 338 to 795 of the family's 1533-position model. The record is from RNAcentral.
CCUACGGGUGGCUGCAGUAGGGAAUCUUUCACAAUGGGCGAAAGCCUGAUGGAGCAACGCCGCGUGCAGGAUGAAGGCCUUCGGGUUGUAAACUGCUUUUAUAAGCGAGAAAUAUGAUGGUAACUUAUGAAUAAGGAUCGGCUAACUACGUGCCAGCAGCCGCGGUAAUACGGAGGAUGCGAGCGUUAUCCGGAUUUAUUGGGUUUAAAGGGUGCGUAGGCGGGCUGUUAAGUCAGCGGUAAAAGCCCGGGGCUCAACCCCGGCGAGCCGUUGAAACUGGCUGUCUUGAGAUGUCGAGAGGUAUGCGGAAUGCGCAGUGUAGCGGUGAAAUGCUUAGAUAUUGCGCAGAACUCCGAUGGCGAAGGCAGCAUACCGGCGGCGAUCUGACGCUGAGGCACGAAAGCGUGGGUAUCGAACAGGAUUAGAUACCCGGGUAGUC